UUCUCCGUUCACCCUAGCAGCCGCCCACCUCUUUCCUUUUUCUUCUUCUAUUUGUCGCAGCCGCCGAUCAUCUCCCUCUCUUCCCUUCCGUCCGUCGAAGCCAAGGCCGCCGCGUGAACCUGUAACCGCCGGCUGUCUCCCCUCUCCUUUCUCCUCUGUUUUCUGCCCAGCGUCGUGUGACCCUCUGCCCAGCACCGCGUGACCCUCCGCCCAGUGCCGUGUGACCCUCUGCCCAGCACCGCGCAACCUUUGUCUCGCGCCGUUGUCCAGAUCUGCAACGCCGUGUCCCCACCGGUAGCCGAUCUCUUCCUAAAUUGCGUGUCCCCUAUCAAGUCGUCGUUCUUCUGCUCGUUGGAAGACGGAGUUACGAUUUGAAGCCGAUUUUCUUUUCCGGUUGAGUCGCAUUCAGUGUUGCUCUAUUUACAGCCGUUUGAUUCGUUCUUGAUUGUCAUUUUUGCCUUGCCGUGAACCAUUGGGCUCAUAUUUGGGUAAGAACAAGUUAUGGUUUUUGUUGGUUUCUUGGUUUUUGUUGAAUGCUACCAUUGGAUUUAAUUGUUGGCGAAUUGCUUAAUUCUUGAAGGUACAUCUUAAUUCAGUGAGCGAAUCCUUGAUUUUCCAAAAGGUUGAAGUGGAAUUGAUUUUCCACUUCUUGGGUAAGUUGUGGAAUUUACAUAUGGGGUAAUUUGAAUGGUUGAAACUAUUUAGAAAGAUGUUGAUUUUAUGUUUGAUUAUGUUUAGGAUUUGAUUUAUUGGAUCACUUAAAUUCAUUGUGAAUUUUGAUUUCAGUUUGCCCUUAUUUGGAUUGUUUCGUGGACGAUAGUUGAUUAAGGAGCUUCCCUAACUUUGAGGUAAGGGAUUUUCUACUGGACUCAACAACAAAAUUAAGAUAUAUUGACUAAUUAAGAUGUAUUGACUGUAUGGACCGAAAUAUUAUAUGUGAACUGAGUAGGGACGACAGUUAUGAUGUAUGUUUGGGUAUUGACUUAAAGUUUAAUGUUUGCUGUGUUUGACUGGGAGAAAUUAAUAUAUAUAUGUGCAUGGGUUGAUGUGGACUGUGGUUGAGUAUAUGUUGUGACUGUCUGGUUAUGUAUAUGUACAAAGAUAAGGAUGUGGAAACGACUGAAUCUCGUAGAUGUUGCUUAUAUAAAGUGUGGAUUUGAUUAGUAGAUUGAUUGUUGUCUAGACUGAAUGUAUAAUCUACUGUUAUGUUGUGUGCUUGUGAACGGAGGAAACGUCAUGGUUGUGCCCUUGGUGGCUGAGGAGGAGAUUAUGAUUGUUUAGCUUGUUAACUGAUGUAAUGAUAUACUUUUUAUUGACCUUGGGCUAAAUUAGAGUAAGACGACUGUUUGGGGUUAAAUAAGGAGUUUAUAUGAUGAGAAUGUUUAACUGAUCUGUGAAUGACUGUUAAGAUGUUUAGAAUGGACUGAGGGGAAAAAUUGUUAGCUUUUAUUGGGAUGUGUGCCUUGUAGGUGUCCCACGGGAUCACCAAUUAUUCUGCACCUUCGGGAGCAUUAGACUGAUAUGUGUUUCUGCAGAACACUAGACUGAAAUGUACGUCCCUCGGGGUUAGACUGAAAUAUGCAUCCUACGGGAUCACAAGACUGCGACUGUACAGGGUGUCCCAAUAGAAUGUUAACAAUUUAUUUUCCCCUGAUGGGACCAGUAGAGGGUUUCUUACUGGGUAUUUUAUACUCACCCUCCUUAUGUUUAAUUUUUUCAGGCAAAGGUAAUAAAGGCGACAAACCGGCGAGGGGCAGGAAGGAAGCGUGAUUGCCAUAGGGGAUAUUUUAAUUUGCUUCCGCUUAAUGUUUUGUUUCUCAUGUUUUGUUUUAGUACUUGAGAUUGUUUAGAAAAUUUUAUAGUUGAACUGUAUUCACGAAUUAGUAAACUUUUCUUGAAAGUGUUGGCUAUUUUAAACAGGGCCCAAAUAUAAAUUUUUGUUUUCUUUGAGACUUUGAAAUUAUUUGAGAUUGAGAUUUUGCGUAAACUCAGGUCUUUAUUUGAAAUUAAUGACUUCGACUUAUUUGGAAAAGUUGGGUCGUUACACCUUGUAUUGGUGUUUCCUUCCCAAUUAAAAUUGAUUUUCACUUGUUGGACCUUUUAGAUAUUUUGAACCCAUAAGUGGGGGAUUGUUAGUGAUAUAUAAUUAAAUUUACUUUUAAUCACUAGCUUAAGAUUUUGGGUGGUGGUUUAAUUAAUAGCAUCAGCUUUCUAAAAAAUUUCUUCAAGGCGGGUUUCCAAGAAGCGAAUUGAGUUAGGAACUUUCAUUAGGUAGAGCAUUUGCUCUUCAACCUUUACCAGUCGGUCCACAUGGGCCUCGCCCGACUAUUUUGUUAUGGACAUGUUUACAUUUUAACCGUUAAUAAGCCAACUUAGGCUAUCACACCCCACCACGAGAACCUACUUGCGUGGCUCGAGAUAUGGCGUGAAGCCAAUCGAUAGCACCCACGUCAAGAACGACACCAUUUAACCCUUAGCCUGAACCUUUAAACUCUAAACAACAGCGGAAACAUAACACAUAAAUUUUACUAAAACCAAUUGGGCUAAACCUUUUUCAUUUAACAACCUUAGACAAGUUUUACAUAGAAAAAACGUAAUCUUAUUUAUCUAGAACAAAACCUUAUUAAACCUUCCCAAAAGCCUAAGUCUGAUAGCACAAAAGACUAAUUUAUCAUUAGUACAAAAUAACAGGACACAUAUGAUAACAAAAUGAAAUCCUUUAGUAGACAGGUAGUAGCAAGUUAGGCUUAGAGGACACGAUCUCUACCUAGAAAGUGGGAAAACAUUUUGAAUAUUAUGCAUUUUGAAGAGUAAACAAUAUGCUUGAAUAAAUACCUUUAAACAAUAACACCCUUGAAAGACUUUUCAUAACAUAACUUAAACAUUUUAUCAUAAAUCCGUCAUAAAUCAUGACUUAAGAACAUGCUUGAAAUCACUUUAAAUAAAACAUUUUCCACUCAUAGAUACAAGCUCAAAUCCUUGGUUUAUAAAUUUGUAUGAUCUUCUCAUGUCCUGAAAUAAUGGUAAAAUAGUACAAUUAAUUAUCUUUUGCCAAUAAAAUAUCAAAAGUAUACUUAAAAAACACAAAAAAUUACCAAAAAUAGCUCAACACGCAAUAUGACACUGCCUGGCACGAAUGGGUGGGUAGUAGGGCCUUGGUUGGGCGCUGGCUACUGUGUGUGAAUCUCACAAGAGGCUUUUCACGCGUGUUGGGCAUGCCCGCGUGCUAACCUCACACACAAGCACAUUGUGAACCUCACAUGGUUGCGUGCUUGGCAUUUCGUGUAGCCCUCCUCGUGUGCAUUCUUGGCUAGUGCAUUUCUUGUGUCACAAUCGCGAGCUUUCAAACACGAGAGGAGCGAUUAUGUUGCACUUGUUUUACGUAGACAACAAGUUAGCUGAUCAAAAUCCAGAAACCACGGACAAACACAUGAUACGAUGUAGCCUCUCUUCACGUUCUUAAGAAAAUGUUUUAUAAAACGUGAGGAGAAAGAAAUUCAAUGAAAAUAUCGUUAAAGCAAGCAUUGAAGACUGUCAAUUGCAAAGAAAAACUUUGAUUGCGAAGAGUGCAACAAGGCUUGGGCAGGAAUUCAACUACUAUGUCCCAUCUAUAGUACAUUUUAGACUUUUUUAGUUCUGGUAGGCUUGCAUAAGAAAAAGCCAAGUCACACCCAAGGUUUAUGACAUAAAAAGGAAAGCAAAAAGUAAAACUAAAUACAAAACAUAAAAACAAUGUAAAUUGGGGGUGUUUGGGCAUGCGGCCAUAAGUAAACAGCGCCUUGGACAAGCAUGCUUGUUACAUUCUCCCCCACUUAAACAAUUGACGUCCCUGUCGACUGGAAGCUAGAAUUCCUCGAUCUUCUUCUUUCACGCUCCAAGGUCUUCAGCACAUUCCUAACGUGUUUCUUCCACAUGGAGGUUCUUUCACUUCAGUAGGAAUUCAUGUAUCUUCUUCAUGGGUAUACCCUUCCUCACUCUCUUAGGAAGGAUUUCUUCCAUUUCUUUAUCGUCUUUCUGCUUUAGGUCACUAGAUGACCAUACACCAUUGUUGCACUACUGGUCAUCUGGAUCUUGAUGGUAAGGUUUCAAGUUGCUCACAUGAGCUACUAGAUGAUUUUUUAUCCAUGCAGGCAACGAUACCCUAUAGGAUGCAUUUCCAAUUUUCUUCAGAACUUCAACAGGCCCUUCGUAUUUUCUGGUGAGAUGCUGAUGUUGAUGUCCUCUAAAUCAAAUUUGCUUUGCUUUAAACUCUAUGAAGAGUUGGUCUUCCGCUCAAAACUUGAGAGGAUGAUGCUUCUUAUCAUACGCUUCGAGACUUUCUCUUAGUAUGCUCGAGCGAUGUUCGUAGUCUUCUCCCACUUUUUCGUAAAGUUAUGAGCUUGAGGAUUUUUUCCGGCAUAAGGAUGAUCAACAAUAUGAGGCAGUAUAGGUUGUCUUCCACUCAAGAUUUCGAAAGGACUCGUUCUUGUGGAUAGACUAGUUUGUGCAUUAAAACAAAAUUGAGCCACAUCCAUCAACUAGGCCCAAUUCUUUUGUCCAGAAUCAACAAAAUGUCGUAGAUAUUCCUUAAGCAUACAAUUGAAUCCUUCAGUUUGGCCAUUCGUCUGAGGAUGGCAGCUUAAGGAUAUAUUUAGGCGUGUCCCCAAGAAGGCGAAUAGUUCGGUCCAGAGAGUACCAAUGAAUCUACCAUCCCUGUCACUCACAAUGCUUGAUGGAACUCUCCAUAACUUCAAGACGUUCUUAAAGAACAAGUGUGCUAUCAGCUCGACAGAACAUAGUUUUGUAGUGGGGAUGAAGGUGGCGUACUUCGAGAACCAAUUGAUUAUAACCAAGAUGCCUCAAAGUCGUUCACCUUUGGGAUGUGUAAUAAAAUCCAUGGAUUUCGCACAUUCAGGGAAUUUCAAUGUGUUCGACUAACUUUCCAAAGUUACUUUCUCUAUUAAAGCCUGAAGCCCCGUAUGCUGCAAGAAUCAGUGUUGCCAAUCGAGGUUGCAACGUUUCAAAUGCAACUGAUCAGCAUACCAUUCAAAAUUUGAAUUUUCAACAUGACGAGUUUGUAACUUUAGUGCCCCUUGGAGAAGAAAAUGAAAUUCAGGGUAUGUGUAAUUCAGGUUUUGUUCCACAAGAUAGUACAAUUUAAAUUAUUCUCCAUAUGUUGCUUAAUUAUCUCAUAACGGUUUAUUUAAACCAGGAUGCAGUGCAUGACAGCAACGGUCUGGUUUCUUUUGCAGAAAUAGAGAACAACACGACAGCUAGUAUUGCAAAAUUAUCCAAUACUCUUGGUAAUUUGGAUGAGACACAUUGUUCUUGCUCUAAACAUAGCGCAAAGAGAGUUUGGGAAGCAUCACUUUCUUCCCUGAAGUCAAAGAAAGUAAAAGGAGUCAAUCUGGACCAUUUCCAUUCCCACUCUAACAAAAAUCUUGAUCCUAAAAGUGAUGUAUACGAUACCUGCUCUCCAGGAUGCUCUUUAGCCAAUUCAAAGCAUGAGAUUUUAUCAAGUAUUUAUCCUAAAAAUCCAACCAAUCAGUGUACACAAAAUUUCUGUCAAGAAUUUGGAAGUGUAAAUGUGGCAUCAGAGGACCUCAAUUCUGAAGAGAACACAUUAGGAAAAUCAUUUAAAAUUAUGCUGAUGAACAUUGCAGACGAAACUAAGAAAACUCAGCUCAUGAAGGUACGGUACCAAUUUAUAGUCUUCUAAAAUAUUCAUCAUUCAUGUUUCUUUUAUGAGAUUUUCUAUUGAUGGUAUUGAAGUUUUAUAUCCUUGGCUUAGUAUUCUUUAAAGGGGUGUUUGGCACAAGGAGUGGUCCAAGAAGUUGUGAAAUCUAGAAAGUUUUGAACUCUUAGGGCCUAGGACAUACGAAGUCAAUAAGGCAUAAAAUUGAAAUUUUCUUGUCGGGAGUCCACAAACACUUUUGGCCAAACAAAGAGCGGAAAACUCCACACUUCCCUAAUCCUACUCUUCCAGCUCCUUGGCUCAUACAGCCUCUACGAUCUCUAAAUAUGAUAGGCCCAUGGUAGUGAAGGUGUACACCCGUAGGCACAAGAAAGGAUUCAGGAGAGGAGGAUGGGAAGCUGUAUUUGUUGGUCUGAAUGUUGCUAGUUAAGGGGGCCAUGAGUCUUUUAUGCUUUCAUAUAAAUGCUAUUAUGAUUGUUUGGGGAGGGUAUGUUUUGACAUACCUUGUAUUAGGUUUCUUAGAAUAAUUGGGAGAGCUAGAGAAGCUUUUGAUUCCUUCCCUCCAUUAUUGACAAAUAAAAUUGAGGUUAAGGCUUAUCAUAUACAUACCCAGUCAUUGAACUUCUCCAUAUUCCUUAAGAGGCUUGGCUUAUUUGGCUGGCUCUACUCAUGUAGGAUUUCGAAAGGCGAAUCUGACAUCCUGCCAAAAAUGAUUAAUCAGUUUCUUUAACUGUUGAACUUUUAGGUUGUAUACUAGCAAGCACAUGAAGUUUAGGGAUUCAAUCUUUAUAUUAUUUUUAAGAGUUAUUCAAUAUCCCUACCUAGAAUAGACAAAUGAAGCUUGAAACUACCCAUAAUAUUAAUGAUGUUGUUUAAUUAUGACAUUUUGUUAUCGGUCUUUCUAACUUACGAAUAUCCAUCUUCUGAUAUGUGUUCACAUGCAUAUUUUAUGGAUGUAGAUUUUAUAGUAUUUCUUUAUUUAUUUUAUAUGGCAUUAGCUGUAUACUUUUUUAUAAAAUAUUAAUAUAAAUAUUAAACCACCGAUUCACCAAAAAGUUUAAGCUGGUGGUUGAAAGAAAAUUCAAUUAUAGCCUUAAGCUUAAGCUACUUUGGUGGACUAGAAAGUAUAAUCUUAGAAACACUCAAUCUGAUCAAGUUCUCUGAAGCAAGAAUUAAAGUUUGGAAAAAUCUUUGCGGAUUUUUACCAGCAACUAUAGAAUUAAAGAGUGAGAACUGAGGAAAAUUUUCCCUUAAUUUUGGGGAUUUUGAACCCUUAGAAGCUCCUGUAAUAAUCCAAUCUGAUCUAUUUCAAAGUGAUUUUUCCAAUCCUAUUGAUUUAUGUAGAAUAAAUUCAGUGAUUUUAGAUGAAGGGCUCCAAAGUGAUGGUCUCCCAGAUACCUGAAUUUUCUCAAACAGAAUGCCCCAUCCAUCUCAAGAAAUCCUUUCGAAGCACUUAGGAAGUUGGAUGAUGAAGAAGAAAACCUUGUUCGACCGGAAAGAGUUUCAGACCUUGAAUCCUCGCCGGAAAAAAUAAUUUUCAGAAGGCAAAAUUCAAAUUUGGGUAUAGCUGGCAUCUCCACGUACUUAGAAGGGGAAAAGACUUCAACAGAAAAGAGAGAAAAACAGACCUUGAAAGUAGAAAAGGCAGCCAGCCGGUAUUUUAUUAUCUCAAAAAAUAGCUCACCUAGCCCUCCCCAACCAGAUUUUUUCAAACUUAAUGUAUCUGCAGACAUUUUAAAAUCUGACACACAGAUGGUAGGCCCCAAGAAUUUUAUUAAUCAGAAUACCAAUGGCUUUUGGUAUUCUGACGAAUUGGAGGAAGAAUCAGAGUCCUCUCCUCCAUCAAGGAACUUCACUUGCUGGCCAUCUCCUGUUUUCAGUUCUCAACCAAAAUUACCAGCCUCUCCCAAGACUAAAAUAUCCUCUGCAAUGAAAGCUAUUCCAAUACAUGCCAAAAAAUUUAUGAGCACCUCAAGACCUAUACCAAAGGGAGAACUUCUUUUCGCAACAUUUGGAUGAGCUUGGCUAAUUCUGAUUUAUUAGAGGAAAGUUGUGUGAAGAUACAAAUUCCAAAUUCAGUUGGCAAAAGGUCAGUACUGCCUUCCUCCUUAAGUAAUAAAUUUUCUCAAUCCUCCUCCAAACUUUUUGGUUCAUUCUUUAAUUUUGUGCAAGAUACUUCUUGUCUCAAAAAAGUUGAGAACCUAGAAGAUGAAUUCAUGGAAGUUGAAUCAGUCACCAGUUUAAGUAGUGCAGAAUUUGAACCAGUUGAGGAAGAAAUAAUUCAAUCAGAGACAGAGAAACAAGAGGACAUUGACUCUCUCGGUCCAGAUUUUAUUAAAUUGUUUUCCUCCCCAUAAAAAGAAAUUUUGUGCAGGUCAGCAAGUAUCCUUCCCCCUCAAGAGUUGGUUCCUUUCUUGGCAGCAUGUGAAAUUGAAUUGAUAUAAGGCAGAGGUAGCAAAGAUGGAGAUUAUAUCAUGGAACACUAGAGGAUUCAUGGGCCAUUCGAAACAAUUGGCUAUUAAAAAUCUUUUGAAGAAAGCUAAUCCAGAUAGAGCAUUGAUUCCGGAGACCAAAAGAGAAGAGAUUGCCAGUUGUAUUAUAAAGGCACUAUGGAGUUUAAAAGGAAUUGGCUGGGUCUUUGUUUGAAGCUAGUGGCAGAUUAAGAGUUUUGCUGAUUAUGUGGAUAAAUAUAAGUUGUCGAUUAUUGAAGUUCGGUCAAGAGAAGGAAUGUCAUUACAGUGUGGCUUAUAAGUUGUUUCAACAUUAAUUUAUAAGUUGUUUGGAAAGGUUCUCGCAGAAAGAUUAAAGAAAGUCAGGCCAGUAUUACUUUGUAAGACCUCCUAUUAUCUAUACCUAUAAAAGGAACGGUAGAAAGGGAAAUUCCUUAGCAACCAAUGAUGAGAGAAUAAUGGGAGAGGAUCGUGCAGGUGGGGCCCGCCAGGAGGGAUGAGAGAGAGAGGUAUAAAUAUGUAAUGUUGGGGUAGGGGAGGCUAGGUCUUUUUUGGUUAUUUCAAGGAGAGUAAAGGCUGUUGUAGCCUGAGGGUAUCCAGCCCCGUAUAAAGGAGCUGGGUAAGUUUUCUAUGUUGUUCAUCCUUUAUUUUUCAUAUCUACUACAGUUGAAUGUGUUUUGGCUUUUACAUAAAUAAAGAAUUACAGAGUGCUGCCUCUGUUUAGCCAUUUGGUUAGGAUAUUUUGUGUUUUAUUGUUAGAAUCCUAACAUACUUCUCCAUUACAAUGUGGCUUUCUGGAAGAGUGCCAAAUAUUGGAUCCUAUUUUAAUAGCAAAAGAAACUGUGGAGGUCUAUAGUAUCCGAAAAAAGAAAAGAUGGAUCAUUAAAUUAGACCUUGAAAAGGCCUUUAACAGAGUGGAUUGGAAAUUUUAGAAAAUGUAAUGCAAAAGAAGAUCUUCGACGUAGGAUAUUGUGAUGAUCAGAACUUUCGGAUCAACCCUCUGCUUCAAACAGUUUUUGCUCAACCAAUCAAGGCUUAUUCUUCUUUGUUCUCAGCAUGCUGCCUUGGAUUAUGAUUUUGCUUUGGAAAGAUUCUUUUUAUCAUUUUGUUUGUCUUUGUUUUUGUGGCUUUUUGUUUUGAUCUUGUGUUGUCGCUUUUUGGAUGUUUUGAGGGCACUAAGGGGGUCAACCUAGUUUGAGAUGCCCGGAUGCGCCUGUUGAUCUUCCCUCUCCCCUUUUGCUCUUUGUAUAAUCCUCAUGUACAUUGAGCUUUGUCUCUUUCUUAUAUUAAUAAUAGUGAGACUCGUAUCCUUUUUUAAAAAAAGAAAGAAAAUUCAAUUAUAUAUCACCAACACUCUCCUCACUUGUGGGCUUGAAAUAUUUGAAAGGCCCAACAACUGGAAACGGAUUUUAAUUGGGGAGGAAACGACAAUGCGAGGCUUGAACACAAGACCUUCUUGGACCACCUGCUCAGAUACCAUAUUGAAAGGGAGACAAAUAAACACAGAACUUUAUGUGGAAACCUGUGUACCAGGAGAAAAACCACUAUAUUUUUCUUCUUAUUAUUUUUGAUGAAAAAUACAAUAGGUACAAGGGAGAAUAAAUAGAAUAUACAGAGGAAUAAAAAAGGAAAAUAUUUAGGAAUUAAGAAAAAUAUUCCCAUAAACUUUUCAUAAAUAUUCUAAGAUUCUAACAAUAAAAAGUUCUAUUUAUUCCAAAUUGUGACUGCUCUAAUGUGCAGUUGUUUUCUGAUUCAGAUGAUUGAGGAGCUUGGUGGUUCUCUCACUGCUGAUGGGAGUACAAGCACUCAUGUCAUUACAGGAAAUUUGCGGAAAACUCUAAAUUUUUGUAUUGCUCUCUUUUCAGGGUUAGUCUUGCAACCUUAGACGAACACUCUUCUAUGUAUCCUUUUGGCCUUUGAAUACCGAUAAUCAUCUCAUUUGCACAAAAGUUAGCGAUUCCAUGCACACAAGGCCUUUGUCGUUAUUCUUCCAUUGCCUCGUAGUUGUGCUUAGGCUGGAAAUUGUUGUGAACCUUCUAGAUCUAAAAGGGCAUAGUUUCUUAUUCUACUGCCUGUUUACUUUUAAUUAAACAUCAAAAUCAAUUCUUAUGUUUGAGUUGGAUUGUAUCAUGCUCUUCCUUCUCAGUUGUUUCUAUCGUGAUGGUGGGUAGUGGUUGUUAAGACAACCAUUAGGCUAAUUUGGGUUUCAGGCUUACUUUUCCCAUUUUACGUGUAAAAUGGCUCAAGCUCACUAAUGAAAGAUAUUUGUUGGCUAGCUAGUGUUUUUAUCCUCGAUUUCCUUCUUCCCCUAAUACAUUAUGUUAUGGAAUUUGUUAGAUACCUAGAUUAGUAUAGGGUUGGGGUAUAAGGGUAAUUAGAUAUUUAGGAAGUUACUAGUAGUUAUUGUGUAAGUGUGGUUACUAGUAGUUAUUAUGUAAGUGUGGUAACUAGGGUGGUUACAUGUUAUUAUAAAUGGAGGGAGGGUAAGUUGGGAGAAUUUUGGGGAGUGAUAUAAGGCUUGGGUGAGAGUACUCAAGAGGGAGGGUUCCAAGUGCUUUAUACUUGGUUUUAUCUUGUAUUUUCUUAUAGUUACAUUAUAAUAAAUUCAGAUCUUGUUCUUGUUAGGAAGCAUAUGUCUCCAAUAUUAUUUAAAUACAGUAGAAGAAUUAAAAAGGGUAAUAUUGACCCACACGAGAAUAUAGGAGAGAUUAUAGGAGGAGAGAAUAUUGGAGGAGAUCUUUCCCAUUAGUUUGUUAGUAAAGCAAAAUAAAAGGGAGGAAAGAGGAGGGAGAAAGGGGACAAAAUAUUCCAAAGAAGUAGAGGCUGCCGUCUUUCAUGCUCGGGAGAAGUAGAGGGUCCAAGUCAAGUUCUUUUUAUUGUUUGUUUUGGUCAUUUUCAUGGUUGCAGUUUGUUCUUAGUUUUUCUUGUUCUUUGUUGUGAUCCUCACUGGAGUGUGCCUUUAGGAAGUAGAUGUGAGUGAUUUUUUAUUCUCUAUACUGUAAUUCGUUGAGGUAAUUCAAUAAAGUAAGAUGCACUUGCCGUAUAUUUACAGUAUCUUAACAAAUUGGUAUCAGCGAUUUUACUUGGGAGAACGAUAGAGCAGCACAAAAACGGAUCGAAGAGAAGUUGGAGACCUCUGAUAAGGAAAUCUCAGGGAUACAAGUUCAGUUACACAAGUUGCUGGCAAUUGAAGAAAACUUGUUAUGCUUGCCAAAAAGCAUCGAAAGACUAGUCAUCUAGUUGGAAAAACAAGAACGGUUGCUAAAUGCAUCAAAUGAAUAGCAGAAGGAUAAUUCGACAAUCUCCGGAAGAAUGGAAGGAUCAUCGAGCAAAGGACAAACGAUUGAGAGUAUCAUCGAAGGUGGAGGUAAGACAUUGAAGGAAAUCAAGGUAGAAGGUAAAACAAACAAGUUUGAAAUGGAUGAAAACUCGAACGAUCAUAGCAAAUUCAAGAAGGUUGAAAUGCCUGUGUUCAGUGGCACUGAUCUGGAUUGUGUUUAUUUAGAACGGAUUGGAAUCUUCAGGUCCAUAAAUCGAUGGAUUCCAAGAAGUUGCUAAAUCCAUAGAAGAAUCGAGGAAAACAUGAUUGCAACGGUUAUACAACGAAGGUGAAGAGGAUGGCAAAGAGUGACCAAGAAGAAACUAUAGAGGAAGGUCGACGAGGAUUACCUGUGAGGCUCGAAAUGAAGACUCGAGUGAAGAAAAAUUUGUUGCUCAAAGAAACACAAAAUGGCUGGUUGCAAUGGAGAAAGAAGAAGCCGACAGUUGCCGGUCUACAGAGGCUCGAGAAGGUGGUCUGGAAUAGGGGUGAAUCACGUGACGAGGAAGAAGUUGUUGCACACAUGAUGGUGCCAAUGACGUGGUAGAAAUUGGUAGGAAAGAGGAUUAAGACAAAAGUAACAAUCUUGGGUUUUACUAUUUCAAGUGGGCUUCAACUUACUCUAAAUAAGCUUCAACUUAUUCUAAAUAAAACAUUGGGGGCACAUCAUUUUGUAGAUGAAAUGGGUGGAGAGUUCCAAAAAUAGGAGGGAAGAAAAACGUGUAUGUAGGUGGGUCCUAGGAAUGAAACCGGCGGCAGUAUGAUUUUGGUCUUGACGCAACACUUUGAUUAUGGCCUAGCCCAAUAGAGAUGAAGAGUUUGAAAAUUAAACACUUGUUGGUGAUAUGCAAAGGGUUAACUAAGACAAUGUGUUUUGGAAAAGGAAAAUUCAAGUACAUUGGGCUGCUUUGUGGGCUGAAGUCAAUGGACCUUAUUGGAAUCGAGAGUUUUUCAAAGCCGAAGGGGAGGAUUUCUUUUUCAACAUUGAAGAGCAGAAUGCUGGGGAUUGUUUGCAAUUAAAAAGAGAAAAAAAGAGAAAGGGGCCUUGAUCAUGUUUGUAAGCACACCUUGAGGACAAGGUGUUUUGAAGGAUCGGGUAAUGUUAGAUACCUAGAUUAGUAUAAGGUUAGGGGUAUAAGGGUAAUUAGAUAUUUAGAAAGUUACUAGUAGUUAUUAUGUAAGUGUGGUUACAUCUUAUUAUAAAUUGAGGGAGGGUAAGUGAGGGGAGAAUUCUGGGGAGUGAUUAGGGCUUGGGUGAGAGUACUCAAGAGGGAGGUUCCAAGUGCCUUAUACUUGGUUUUAUCUUGUAUUUUCUUAUACUUCAUUAUAAUAAAUUAAGAUCUUGUUCUUGUUAGGAAGUAUCCUAAUAGAAUUCCUCUAGAAGGUCUCAUGUUAGCGAAUGAUAAUCUGCGUUAAGUGUGUAUUUGUAGGAGUUCUUCUCCCGGGCAUCUAUGGUUGAUAUUCUUUACCUUUCAAUAUAUCAAAGCCAAGGAUUCUUUUGCAUUUCUCUAUGCUUUUUCUUUACCCAUUUAUGCUUUUUUCAGUUAUAUUUGAGAGUAGUAUUUCAUUUCUUUCAUGUGAAAUGUUGAACUUCAGUAGUGUGGAGAGUGGAACGUAAUAUCUUACCUUUUAUAUUAGUAAACUUGAUUUUAAGCAAUGUGUUUUUGAAGAUUUUAUGUUGUAGAAUGUUUUUUGUUCUUCACGCUACUGUUCUUAACUUUAUUUUCUCCUGUUAAUGUUCUCAAUGAUUAUCGAGCAUAUGCAUUACCAUGUGGCUUCAAGCGUGUCAGUGUGCUCUUGCUCAUAAUUUUUACUAUAUCUUGUUACUAAAAUUGCAAGUUAAUUGCAAAUUACUCAGAGCUUGGAUUUUCUCCUCCAGUUGGUUAAAGGAAAGCUACCGGGAAGGUAGAUUUGUUGGUAAGUUCGAAUGGCUUGCUAGUAUCAAAGCGUAAUGUAUUUUCUUCCACUUAUGUUUUUCAUCCUACCUAAUUUUUGUGAUUGAUUAAUUCCUUAUUGAUCUGUAGACGAGUUGCCUUACAUACUAAAUGAUGAUGACUACAUAUCGAAGUAUCGAGCCAGCCUAAAAGCUACAGUUCUCAGGGCAAAAGCAUGUCCUGGAGCUUUAUUUGAAGGGUAUAAUGUUUGCAUAUCAGCUCACGCUCAACCACCACCUAAAACUCUAUCCUUGAUACUCAAGUCAGCCGGUGGAAAUGUAAGUUCUCUGUUAUUGUACAAAUCUCGAGUACUAGGUUUGGUUCUCUAUAUUACAUAUACAACCACUAUAAUAUGGCUAUCCUCCCAUCUAAUGAAGAUGUGAAGUUCUCAACAAACAAGCACGUAUAUGAAUUCUAGACAUGGGUCAAUAAAUCAUAGACAUGGUGACGUGCCAUUUUUUUCUAAAAAAUAUAGGAUAGCGCUAGAACACAGUUUUAAUAUAUAUAAUUUAAAAAGUAUGUAUCAUAUUUAUAUAGAAAUUCAAAGUCAAUAAGUUUAUGUAUUUAUAUGCUUAAAAAUAAGCUUGUCCUUCACUCAAAACUUAUUCAAAGCCAAGAGUUUAAUAUGUGUGUGUGACCAAUCUUGACCUUUAUUACAUUGGAAUACUUGUUGUCUAACACAUCUACUGUACUAACUAGUGUUCAACACGUGUUCUCCGAGUGUUCCAUACAUAUUGUUUAUUGAUACACUAGCCAAACUUGAGUGUAUGUGCUUCUUAAGUCUUUAAUAUUUAUGUUUGUUUUGAUCCUAGGAAUUGAGCAUGUAAUGUAAAAAGUCUAUGCACAAGGGGUCAUAUGGCCAUCUCCGUGUUUCUUUAAUUAUCAAAUUUGUUCAAGUUUUUAAUUGUCUCUAUAUCGAAAUCUGGAGUUAUUUUUUGUGAUUUGGUGUACAAAUACAUACAUCCAUGUUUCUAAUUAUGAUUAGAUUGUUUUCUUGUCGCAACAUUUUAUUGUUUAGCUUGUCUUUGAUCUUGAACUUACUAAAAUAACAUAUUUUCAAAAUUAAUUACUGUAAUAGUUAAACAAAAGAUUCUUUCCCUUAGAACUUUUAAAGUUUGUCUAGUUACCUCUUAAACCUUUCAAUUGUUUAAUAGGUCUUUCAAUUUUAUGUUUUAAGUGUCUAUAAAUUUUGAUUUUUUUAUUUAAUAGAUAUAAAUCUGAAGAAAUGAAUAAAGUAGAUUUGUAAGUUUAAAAUAGUUUAAAAGUUGAGAAAUUAAAUUUGUAGUUGAAAAAGUUGGAGUAAAUAGUUUGUGUUAAGUCGGGUUGUGAUAUUUUAUUUAUUUAUUUUAAUAAUAGAAGAGAGGGAGACGAAAACUGCUAACUGAAGGGAGAAGAAGCGGUGGCUGACUUUGUAUAUUUCUCCUUUCUUUUCAAAUUGAGAAAAUUUCUUUGCAAUUCACUUUGAAAAGGAAAUGAAUAUUUCUCCCUCAGACUUAUCUCUCUCUUCUUUUCAAUUUAUUUUCAAUUUUUCUGUGUGCUUCUCACAGUGUAUGCAUAAUCUCUCUUUCAUUUUGAUCUUCAUCUCCAUUUCAAAUAUCUCCCACACAAAGAACAAAUAAAUGAGUAAAGUAACUGAGAGAGCAUUUUGUUUUUCCCUUCAUAUGGUUGGUUACUUUUUGUCAAUUAAAUGAAAAGUGAAGAAUAAGAUAAGAUUUUCUUUACCCAUUUGCCAUCAUCAUCAAAGCUAUUUACCUCAUUUUUGUUCACACACACACAACUUCAUUUUGUUGGAUUACACUCAUUUGAGAAAAUAGCAAAAUUUUAUUAGAAGAAUAGCAAACAUGAGCAUUUCACGUGUUUUGAAUUUUCAUUAACCCUAAAAUCCCCUCGCCUGCUUUUUAGUUAAACUGUAACUAAUUUUGAAAUAUGCAAAAUUUUAGCAUAAAUAUUGAUUUUCUCCUACAUUAUCUUAACACAUUUUUUUUCUCCAAAUAUUGGAUUUGUAUCAAAUCUUUAUUUUCAAAUUUUACUUUAUCCAAAUUUUCAUUUUUCAAAAUUUCAUCGUUAUUCUACUUUUAUUUUUUUAUUUCAUAUAUAUAUUUAUAAUAUUUAAUCUUAUUUUUUCUCUUUUCCUAUUCAUCUUCUUCCUUUCUCUUCCUCUUCAACCUACGGCCACACCACCAUCUUUUUCUUCCUUCUCUUUUCCUUCUCCAAUCAACUUCACCACCGUCUUCCACCUACACCGAACGUCAAGCAAAUUUUGUCCUAUCGUCGCAUCACCGUUAGCCCGAGUCACUCCGGUUCCGUCACGCCAUGUAUGUUUAGAUCUGAAUUGUUUGGUUAUUUGUUGCACCGAUCCGUCUCCGUUAGAAUUUGUUCUCCACAAUUUGGGUAAGUUAUGGAAUUUACAUAUAGAGUGAAUUGAAUGGAUUAAAUUGUUUGUGGAAGUGAUUGAUUUCUCUUCAAUUAUGUUUAGGUCGGUUCGUUGCACUUUAGUUUGAAAAAGAAGCUUAAGUAAGGUUAUAAGGUAAGGAAUUCUCUACUACUGGACUUGCCUAUAGUUUUGAAUUGUGCUGUCUGUAUAGUUACCUCCGAUUGAGUAAAGAUGUUGAAACGAUAUAUAUAUGUAUGGAUGUAGACUUGGUGUUGAAUGUAUGCUGUGAAUGACUAAAAAAAAAUAUAUACAUGGAUUGAUGUAGACUUGAUGUUGAAUGCAUAUUGUGAUUGUCUGGGAAUACAUAUAUAUAUGUAUGGAUGUAGACAGGACGACAAUUGUAGAUUGUGUUUGUAUGGAAUGUGGAUGUGAACUUGUGAUUGUCGUUUAGAUUGGGUGUAGGUUAUACUAAAGUAUGGUUGCGUACUGAUGAAUUGAGGGGUGUUAUGACUAUAUAGUUUGAUUGACUGAUGUAUUGAUAUGUUACUGGCGGACAUUGGGCUAAAGUGAGAUAGGUUGACUAUUAGGGUGUUAAGUGAAAGGAUUAUAUGUUGAAGUAGCUGGAUUGUACUAUGAAUUAGUGUUAAGAUGUUUAGAAUGGAUUGAGGGGAAAAUUGUUAGAUUUCUAUUGGGUAGUUACCUUGCAGGUGUCCUACGGGAUCACCACCUGAUAUGUUCAUCCUUCGAUAGCACUAGACUGAUAUGUGCAUCCUUCGGGAGCAUUAGACUAAUAUGUGUUUCUGCGAAACACUAGACUGAUUUAUGCGUCCUUUGAGGCGUUAGACUGAUUAUGUGUAUCCUAUGGGAUCACAAGACUGUGACUGUGCAGGGUACCCCAAUAGGAAGUUAACAGUUUCUUUUUCCCCUAACGGGACCAAUAGCGGGUCUCUUAUUGGGUAUGUUUAUACUCAUCCUUUCAUGUUUAACUAUUUCAGGCAAAGGUAACAAAUGAGGUAGACCGACGAGGGACAAGAAGGAGACGUGAUUGCCAUAAGGGAAGGUCCUUCAAAUGCUUCCGCUUUAUGUUUCUUGUUUUUCCUUUGUACAUGAGGUUGUUUAAAAAUUUUGUGAUGGAACUGAGUUUACAAACUGUUGUUUUGUGAAUAGUACUUUUAAAGUUUUGGUUAUUUGAAAUAGGGCCCAAACUUAAGUUUGUUUUCUUUGAUCGUAUGAUUUCAAGUGAAUUUUACUAUAUUUUGUGUCAAUCAAGGUCUCUUUGUCAAAAUUAAUGACUUCAACUUAGUUAGAAAAGUUGGGUCGUUACAACAAAUUUUAAGUAUUAAUGUAAGAAUUAUGUACUUCAUUAUAAAGGUCGAUAGUUUAAAGUUUUUGACGAUAAUUUACAUGGAAUUACAGGAUCAGUUACCACUAUCAAUAGAAUCACUUACAAAUAUUAACACGAUCGUGUACCGAUAACAAGACGAUUGUUUACACUAUUCAAUACGAUCACCAAUAUCAUAUGAUCGUGUACCCAUGUCAACACGAUAAUUUAUUUUAAUCAAUAUUAUCAUUUACCGUUGUUAAAUGGUCGUUUAUCACGGUUAAUAGGAUCGUUUAAUGUAUAUUAUUUCAUUGCACGAUCGUUUACUUAUUCUUGCAUUGUGUUUAGUAUUAUCAUUUUGUACAUUUUAUUCUUUUAUUCAGUAAUAAAUGUAUAUCUAUGUCUAUCUAUUUCUUUCUAUCACAAUUAAAUACUUAAUUUUAUUUUUUUUUUUUACAGAUUAUAAUGUCUUUUCCUAUUGUUGUUUUUUGGAGGUCAAUGGAAUGGAUGUAAUAUUUAUGAGAAUUACUUAGUUGCUGAAAUUUUGGUAGGUGUCCGAGUCAGCUUUAAUUCUCUAGUUGAUUUAAUAUGUGAACAGAUUCAAUUGGAUGGAUAAGUAGAAUUAUCUGUUUUACUUGAUUUUGGUAAAAGCAAGGUCCAACUGUGGUGCCAGUAAAGAAAGACAAUGAUGUGGCUUGGUAUUUAUCUUUUGCUAAAGAUGCAACUAAUAUACAUCCAUUAGUUGCUCAUGUAACUGUUGAUUUUUUUAGAAGGUCUUCUUCUUCUUAGAGAACUACCUGUAGCUACCAUGCUUAGUUCAAUUAGAGAUGUAUUGCAAAAGUGGUUUGAUGAAAGAAGUAAAGCUACUUUUACAAUGAAGAGUUGUUUGACUUCUUGGGCUGAGAACGUGUUGCAUUUAGAAUAACAUGAAAAGUCAAGAAUUUUAUUGGUAAGGUUUUUUUUUUUUUUUUUAAUGUUUGUAUCUCAGGUAGAUAUAAAUAGACUGCUAUUUUUGUCCAUCCGAUAGAGAAAUAUAACAAUUUAUGUGUGCUUGUUUCAGAUAGAUAGAGAUAGAUAGCUAUCAAUGUCUAUUUGUCUCUAUUUGUGCAUGCUUUUUUUUUUAAUUUUUCUAUAUUUGUUUUAUGUAUUAGGUUGAUCCAAUUAGUAUGACUGAAUAGAAAGUAAUGGAUGAUACAAAAUGAUAAUGUGAUUUAUUUAUAUUGGUUCUAAUUUGAAAUAUUCAAAUUUACUUUGGAAAUUAGUAUAAUUAGUAUAAUAUAUAAUGAUACAUUAUAAUAUAAAGUUUAUAUGUUAAUGAAACUUUAUUAUAUAAAUUUAAUUUUAGAUAAAGUUCAAAAUUAAUUUAUGAGAGAUAAAAUAUUUGAAUGAGUUCAAAUAUUAAUUUAAUGUGGAUUUGUUUCAUAUUAAAACUAUUAAUUAUAAUAAAAGUUAUAUUUGAAUAUGAUUCAAAUUUAACUUAGUUAAAUAUAAAUAUUAAUUAUUAAAAUUGAAGAUUAAAAUAGUGUAUAUUAUUUAAUUAAAUUGAUUUAAUUAAAUUAAUAUAAAACUAUAAGGUAUUGGAGAGAUAUUCAUUCAAUAAGAUUUAAAUGAAAUAUUAAUUAAAUAUGAUUUAAUUAAUUAUUAACUAAUUGAUUAAUGGUUAAUUAGUUAGUUGAUUUGAAACUUCUAUUAAUUUAAUAUUUUUAAGUUAAUAGAAUCCUAUGAUUUUCUCCUACCCCGUCUCCUACUCAAUGAAAGAAAGAGAGUUAUAAAUAUGAAGAAGAAAAACAACUUUUCUUAACCAAAAUAAAAUCGAUGAUUUUCUUUUCUGCAAAAUAGAUUGUAACGACCUAAUUUUUCGAAUUAAGCUGAAGUUAUUACUUUAAGACUAGAUUCGUCCUUUAACCAUAAGACUUUAUAAUUUAAAAAAAUAUAUCUUUUAACAACAUUAAAGAGUUUUUAUUCAGGCUCUAUUUCAAAUAAAACUUUGAAAGUGUAAAAGUAUCGAUAAUAAAGAAAGUUCAAGAACAUAAAAGUCGUUCAAUCAUGAAACCCAAAACAGUCUCAGUUACUAAAGAAAACCAAAAUAAAAAAAAUAUAAAGUAUAAGCAAUUUGAAGGACAUUUCCCUAUGGCAGUUUCGCGGAAAAAGAUUAAACAUAAAAGGGUGAGUAUAAACAUACCCAGUAAGAGACUCACUACUGAUCCUGUUAGAAGAAAAAUAAAAUUGUUAACUUCCUAUUGGAGGUGCCCUGCACUUUAAAAGUCUUGUGAUCAUGUAGAAAUACACAUAAUCAGUCCAAUGCCCUAAAGGACACAAAUAUUAGUCUAGUGCUCUUCAGAAAGCACAUGUAAGUCUAGUGCUUUCGAAGAAUGCACAUGUCAGUCUAUUGCUCUCGAAGAAUGCACAUGUCAUUCUAGUGCUCUCGAAGAAUGCACAACAGGUGGUGAUUCCGUAGGACACCUGCAAGGCACACUACCCAAUCGACAAAGCUAACAAUUUUCCCUUAGUCCGUUAUAAACAUUUAAUCAAUCCAUUCCUAGUAUAGUCAAACUAUUUCAUCAUUGUAAAGCCCCAAAGGUAAAAAUAUAUAUACAUAUACAUUUUUUUAUUUUUUAUAUAUUUUUAUUUAAUUUAAAUAAAAAGAAAAGAAAAAGAAAAUUCUUUAUUAUAUAUAUUCUUUUCUUUCUUUUUUCUUUUUCUUUUCUUUUUCUUUUCUUUUCUCUCUUCUCCUUCCUCCCCGUGCGCCCUUCCCCUUCUCUCCGUUCGCAGCCCAGCAACCGCCGCCGCAGCCCAGCAACCGCCACCCCGAGACUUCUCUUCUUCCGUUUCUCUUUCUCUUUUCUUCUUCCGCCCAGCGCGCGACCGACCCCCAUCCGUUCGCAGCAACCGUCGACCUCCAUUCUUCUUCUCCUUCUGUUCGCAGCAAGCCGCCGACCAUCUCCCGUCGGCCAUCUCCUUCUUCUCUUCUCCUCUCCGCUUCGUCCAAACCCAGCCUCACCGCCGCGUCUCCCCUACUGAAGCCGAACGCCCGAUCUGCCGUCUCCAUCGCCGGUUCUGUCUCCGUCGAAGCCACGGUUCUGCAAUCGUCUCCGCCGGUUCUGUCUCCGUCGACCACAACCGCCACUCCACCUGCUAUCAACGUCGGCCGACUAGUUGCUGUAACCGUUCAGAUUUGCUGUAACCGUUCAGAUUUGCUGUAACCAUUCAGAUUCGCGUCUGUUCGCGACGGUCUCCAUCCGUGAAGCCCAGCCGCCACGUUCCCUUUGGCCGACCUGACCGACCCACACUUAGGAUUUUUGCUGCGAGUUCGACAUUCGUGCGUUGAGGUGUUGGGAGUAACGUUAGGCUCCCUUACAUUCACAACCCGUUUGUGAAUUGUUGAAGGUUCAGUUCGCCAAUAUAUCGGUGAGUUGGAACUUACGUUGAGGAAAGUAAGUGACAUAUGUAUCGUGAAAGUAAUUGAAUUUUGUAUUGUUAUGCUUAGGAUUGUUUCGAGGACGUUAGUUGAUUAAGGAGCUUCCCUAACUUUGAGGUAAGGGAUUUUCUACUGGACUCACUUAUGACUGUGAAUUGUAUGUGUUAAAUGUAUACUGUGGAUUGACUGAAAAUAUAUAUGAAUGCAUAUGAAUUGAAGUAGACUUGACGUCGAAUGUAUAUCGUGAUUGUCAUGGAAUAUAUAUAUAAGUGUGUGUAUGUGGACAGGACGAAGAUUGUAGAUUGUGUUUGUAUGAGAUGCAGAUGUGAACUUGUGAUUUUCGUUUAGAUUGGGUGUACGUUACGUUAAAGUAUGACUGUGUGCUGAUGAACUGAGGGGUGUGUUGACUGUAUAGUUUGAUUGACUGAUGUAUUAGCAUAUUAUUGACAGACAUAUGACUGAAGUAAAAUAAGUUGACUGUUAGGACGUUGAAAGAAAGAACUUUGUGUUUUGAAGUAAUUGAAAGAUGGAUUGAAUGGAAUGAGGGGAAAAUUGUUAGAUUGUAUUGGGAUGUGUACCUUGUAGGUGUCCCACGGGAUCACCAAUUUAUUGUGCACCUUCGGGAGCAUUAGACUGAUAUGUGUUUCUGCAGAACACUAGACUGAUAUGUACGUCCCUCGGGCGUUAGACUGAGAUGUGUAUCCUACGGGAUCACAAGACUGCGACUGUACAGGGUGUCCCAAUAGAACGUUAACAAUUUAUUUUCCCCUGACGGGACCAGUAGAGGGUCUCUUACUGAGUAUUUAAAUACUCACCCUUCUUAUGUUUAAUUUUCAGGCAAAGGUAAUAAAAGCGGCAAACCGGCGAGGGGCAGGAAGGAAGCGUGACUGCCAUAGGAAAUAUGUUGUUUGCUUCCGCUUAUGGGUUCUUGUGAGGUUUAAGAUGAAUUGAAAGUUUGCUUACAAACGUUUAUUGUAAAUAGUAUUGUUUUUAUGUUUUCUUAAAUGUUUGAAAUUCAGGCCUGACUUAAAGAUGUUUUUAAAUUAGCUUACGUUUUGUUUUAUAUUAAUCAAAGUCUUUUAUUUGUAAAAAAAAUUAACGACCUCGACUUACUUAGAAAAGUUGGGUCGUUACAAUCAUAUCAUCAAUCCAACUUAACACACUUACGUUCAAUCUAUUCAAUCUAUCACAAAAUCAGUUGAUACUAUAACAACACACCAGACAGUCAAGAUAUAUAUAUAUACAUAACACCUUUCUCAGUUUACAAAUACAUUAUCCAUCGUAUCUACUUCUAUACUAGUCUGGCAUAAUAUACAUUUGUCAUCAUAUCUACUUCUACAUAUUUGGUAAACCAUACUAAGUCCAGAGAUCCAAACAGUCAACACAUUUCAAAACUUUCAAAGAGUCCAGUAAUAGAAACCCCUUACUUUAAUGUUACUUAAAUUUCUCGAACGAAGGAAACCUAAUACUAAGAAUAUGGAACUCAAUUACUUUCACAAUACUUUCUUUCAUUUAAUUUCCUCAAUGUAAAUUCUAGCUUAUCAAAGUAUUGGCGAAUCGAACUCCAACAAAUCUACAAUUUAGUUGUGAAUCCAAAGAACUCAAACGCUAACUUCAAGAAUCAAUUAACAAUUUAACUAAUUAUCCAAAACUACAACCCAAGGAUAAUUACAAUGUAAAACCACCACACUCACCAAUACAACUUACCACAAAAAUCCCAAAAAUUAGAGUAAAAUGGGGGCAACAACUUCGAAUAACUGGAAUCGACGCGUGUAAUAGAUCAGAUCUAAUCAACAAACGAAAAACAAACUUCAGCUUACAACCCAUGGCUGGAAGGUGAAGAGCCGCGCGACGGCACUUCAACAGACGUGACGGGCUCAGGUCUGGUCGACGGCUGCUUCAACUAAGUAACAACGCCGGUGAGAUGAUAGGUCAAUCGGUGACGCUCCUCGUCACCUGGAGCAGAAUGUGGUGGCGCGAACGUCGAAGGAGCUACGCGCGAAUGAAUCACAGCUUGGCUGGAAAACAGAGGUGAGACGCGAUGCCGAGAGUUCGAACUCACGACGAACGGUGCUUCGGCUUCAACGGAGACGAAGGGAUCGGUGACGGCGUGGCCGGCUGACGUCCAAGAGUAAUAUAAAAUGGCUAAGGGAGGCAGGCGGCGGUGGGCACGGGGAAGAGGAAGAGUGAAGGAGAAAGAGAUGGGGUUGCACGUGAAUCAAUAAAGAAUUGAUAUUUUAAAUUAAUAAUAACAUUAAUUCUAUUAUUAUUAUUUAACCUUUAGUAUUAGUAUAUUUUUUCAUAAAAGCCCCCUUCACUUCCUGCUAAAUCCACACCACAACCAAAUUCCUUAAAAUCUUAAUAAAAUUUUAAAAAUUUAGCUUGAGAGAAAUACCUUGAUAUUGGGGGUGUUACAUAGUUUCUCUCUAAAUUUUUUUUUCAUUCCAAUUGUUUUCCACAAACCAAUCUCAUCUUCGAAGAUAGGAAGGUCUCCAACGGGUGGUGUCCCAAUUCGGUGGAUUAUAGAUUCAAAGACGUCAACAAGAGUCAGUUCUAUGUAUCUUUUAAUUUAAAAGCAUAUUUAGUUCUUUAUUUAGAACUUUGAUUCUAAAUAUUGUCAAUGUACUGGUAUUUUGGAAUUUUCAAAUUAAAAUUGAUGAAUGGUUUUGUAAAAUCUUUCACUGCCAAGAGCUUUUAUCCCUUUAGGGCACACAUACCAAUUAAACUAAUGCAAGACCUUUGACAGUAGUUAAUGGUAGCAUCUCACAAAGUGGAAGUGGUUGGCUUACCAACGGAAGAUUUUCAAUCAUUUCUAGCAAUCCCUUUUCUGUUUGAGUAUGACCUUCCAUAUUUUCUGCUAUAUUACUUAUAGUUAAUAUCAAAUGUGCAUCUCUGCCAUAUAUGCUAAUAUCACUGCCUGACUACUCUUGAUGUUGAGGCGUUGUUCAUUUUUGUUCCCUACACAGAAAAGAAAAAAAAUUGUUGUUUAUUUAUAAUCUAAGCAAUUUUAAACAAUAUAAAGCGGUAACUAAUGAAUUAAACACUAACUGUUGAGUUUCUACAGUAGAUUCUUGAAGAUGUGACUCUUGAACAAAUGGAUUCUCAUGGAUGAUCACAUGUUUGUUAUUUUGAUGGUCAUCAUUCUUGUCCAGAUUGUGAUGACUAGAAUCAUCACGAAGAUCAUCAUACAUGUUGUUAAUAUCAUCAAACAAUUGAUUCUGGUUCUAGUAUAGAAAGAAAAAAGGAUAAUAAAAAAAAUAGUUACAAAAUGAUCGUGUAUCCUUAAGCAAACAAUCGUGUAGAAUAUCUAAACGGUUGUUUUACCAAGGGUGAUCGAUAUUUCAGAUGGGAUAUGCGAUCGUUCAUAUGUGAUAUGCGAUCGUGUAAAGAUAUAUCAAACCUUUGUUCUGUCAGAAGUCGUGCUAAGAAGAGUUGAAAGCUUGUAAUAAGAUCCAUCAAAAACUGAAAGAUUUUACAUCAACACGUUCCUGACACAGUACUGCAGUAAAUCAUGAGCAUCAAAUUACGUGAGAUACAUGUUAGAAAAUAUCUAACUGCUCAGUUAAUUUUUUAUGCGACAUCAAAUCACCUUUUUUCAAGCUUAAGGAAGGAAAUGUCGGCACUAUAUAUGUCAGAGUUGUGCAUUGCAAUGGAAGUGCCAACACGAGGUGAUACAUGUGUGUCUUUCUGGGAUGUAAAUGCCACUCCCCCGACUAGGACCAGCAUAGUCUUAGGGAGAAAGCAUGCUAGGAAUUGGAGUUGUGUCCUCAAUUUCUCCAAUUUUACGAACAAAAAACAAGUCGAAUAUGUAGAUGCACACUCUUUGUCAUAAGAGAUAUAACAACGUUUUAUGGGUCAUUUUGAAAAAUGGCAAAACUACUUUUUCUUUUAAAUUUUAACAAAUAGAAUUUUUUGCACGUGUGCAUGAUAUUUUAUAAAAUACCAAAAUAUUCACCUUCUCAAACAGUAAUUAUUUCGUUUCUGCGUUGUAAUUAAUUUAUGUUAUGAAUUUAUUAGCUUUUAAUUAUUUUUUACCUGAAAAGAUACAUCCUUUUUUCUUAAUAUCUCGGGACUCAACUAAUUGAUUCAAGAUUUUAAUUUUAUUUGAAUCUUACUAAUUUCAAAAAUAACCUAAUUAAAUUUCAAUUUCAAAAUAACAAAAUUAUUAUUUUUCGAAAUUUGAGAAUCUCAACGAUAGAUUUGUAUCAAAAUAACUUUUAAUUGAAUUUCAAAAUUAAAAAAAUCAACUUGUACACUAUUUUUCUCAAAAUAACAUUAAUGACUUGAAUAUCAAGAUAAUUGAAUUAUUAUUUUAAAAUUGGGAGAAAUUUUACAUUAACAAAUAUCAACUUGUUCGCACACAAGCACACGCACACGCACGCGCACAUAUGCACACACGCACAAGGAUGUGUAAAUUAAUUAAAGUUAAAAAACAAAUACAUUAAUUAUGUUUAGAAAGAGUUUUAAACCAUGUUCAUUUGACUUAAUAACAUUGAUUAAUUAUAAUUUCUAUCAAUAUUGGCUUAAAACUGUCAUUCGUGUAAUUAUUUCAAUAUAAUGCGGUCUUAUCCAAUUUUACCAACAAAAAACAAAUCGAAUAUGGAUCAGUAGAUCUACACUCUUUGUCAUAAGAGACAUAACAACGUUUUUUAGGGGUCAUUUUGAAAAAUGACAAAACUACUUUUUCCUUUGAAUUUUAGCAACUAGCAUUUUUUGCACGUGCAUGGUAUUUUUAAAAUAAAAUACCAAAUAUCAACAUUCUUCAACUGUAAUUAUUUCGUUUCUACAUUGUAAUUAAUUUAUGUUAUGCAUUUAUCAACUUUUAAUUAUCUUUUACUUGAAAUAGAUAUAUUAACUCAUAUCAUAAUAUUUUUCUUAAUAAUCUCGAGACUCAACUAAUUAAUUCAACAUAUUAAUAACUUUAUUCAAUCAUACUAAUUUCAAAAUAACCUAAUUGAAUUUGAAUUUCAAAAUAACAAAAUUGAAUUUUCAAAAUAACAAAAUUAUUAUUUUCCGAAAUUGAGAGUCUCAACAAUAGAUUUUUGUAUUAAAAUAACCUUAAUUGAAUUUCAAAAUUAAAAAAUAUCAACCUGUUCACUAUCUUUAUCUCAAAAUAACAUUAAUGCCUUGAAUAUCAUGAUAAUUAAAUUAUUAUUUUAAAAUUGAAGAAACUCAACAUUAAAAAAUAUUAACUUGUUCGCACACAAGCAUAGAAGCACUGCGCGCACACGUACACAUGCACACUUACACACACGCGUGCACACGCACACCUACACAUAGACACCACAGACGCACGAACGCACGCACACACACAUGCACACGCGAACGCAUGCACACACACACAUCUAUCCACACGCGCACAAGCACACACACAUGCACAAACGCACACACGUGUACGCACAAACGCACACACGUAAACACAUACGCACACGCGCACAAACACGCACGCGCGAGCACACCCACACACCCAAGCACACACGCAAUAGCCCGUGCACACACACGCACGCACAAACACAUACAAACAUGCACACACCACACACACAUGCACACGGACACUCGCACGAACACACGCACAUACACAUACGCACACCUACCUACACGCGCACACGUACACAAGCACAUAUGCAUAAAGAUGUAUAAAUGAGUUAAAAUUAAAAAACAACUACAUUAAUUGUGUUUAGAAGGACUUUUAAACCAUGUUCAUUGACUUAAUAACAUUAAUUAAACUAUAAUUUCUACCAAUAUUGGCUUAAAAGUGUCAUUCGUGUAAUUAUUUCAAUAUAAUGCGAUUUUAUCCAAUUCUAUUAGCAACAAACAUGUCGAAUAUGAACCAGUAGAUAUACACUCUGUCAUAAGAGAUAUAGCAACAUUUUUAUGGGUUAUUUUGAAAAAUGGCAAAACUAUUUUUUGUUAAUUUUAGCAAAUAACAUUUUUUGCACGUGCAUAAUAUUUUAUAAAAUACCAAAAUAUUCACAUUCUCCAACUAAAAUUAUCUUGUUUCUAUAUUGUAAUUAAUUUAUAUUAUGCAUUUAUCAGCUUUUAAUUAUUUUUUACCUGAAAAAGAUACAUAAACUCAUAUCAUACUUUUUUCUUAAUAUCUUGGGACUCAACUAAUGGAUUCAAGACUUCAACUUUAUUUAAUCUUACUAAUUUCAAAAUAACCUAAUUGAAUUUGAAUUUCAAAAUAACCUAAUUGAAUUUGAAUUUCAAAAUAACCAAAUUGAAUUUCAAUAUAACAAAGUUAUUAUUUUUCAGAAUAUGAUAAUCUCAGCAAUAGAUUUUGUAUCAAAAUAACUUUAACUGAAUUUCAAAAUUAAAAAAUAUCAACUUAUUCACUAUCUUUAUCUCACAAUAAUAUUAAUGGCUUGAAUAUCAAGAUAAUUAAAUUAUUGUUUUAAAAUUGGGAGAAACUCAACAUUAAAAAAUAUCAACUUAUUCACACACAAUCACACGUGCACACACAUACAUACACUUGCACGCGCGUGCACCCAUACACGCACACACACACGAACAUAGGCACACACACACAAACACACACAUGCACACGCAUGCACACAAAUGCACACGCAAACACGCACACACCUACUCACGUACACAUGUAUGUGCGCAUACACACACCAAGCACACGUGGACAUGCAACACACACGCGCACACACGACGCCCACUGAUGGUUCAAUUUCAUCUAUAGUUCCUAUUUUUGCUGACAGUUUAUUUUGCCAUCGAUAGAGGAUCUUCCGACAGAUCUACCUGACGGUGUGUGUUGACAGCUUAAUUUCGUUGGCAAAAGAAAAGUUGAUUAGUUUUUGAAGAUUUACUGACGAUAUUUGUCAUCGAGAAAGGGUAAAUUUCUUGUAGUGCAUGUACGUCAAACAUAUCGAAUUUGUUAAGUGUACCAAUGAAGUAUAACAAGUUUAUUAGUGGUGUAUCAAGUGUAUCAAAUUAUAAGUGAAGUCUUUUAAGUGUAUCAAACUAAUCAAGUGUAUCAAGGUCUCAGGGGUAUCAAGUGUAUCAAGAAGAAUCAAGUGUAACGAGAAGUAUUAUGUGGAACGAGAAGUAUUAUGUGUAUGAAGAUGUUUCAAGUGUGUAUCAAAAAGUAUCGAGUGUAUCAAUGAGUACCGAGUGCAUGAAUUGUAUCUAUCAAAUGUAUCAAGUGUAACAGUAAGAAGUAUCAAGUGUAUCAAGGGGGUAUUAGGUGUAUCAGACGUGUAUAAGGUGUAUCAAAUGUACAUCAAUAACGAGGGCAUUUGUGACAUUUUACCUCUUGAUGUGUGAGUUGGUCUUUGUUUUUGUCAUUUUCUCAAAUAAUAAAGUAUGUGUUCUAUGGACUUAAUUAUUAUAACUAUAUUUUCCAUUUUCGCAAGUGUCCCAUAAUUUUAAUACAUGUAUAUGUGACAUAAUCUAAUCAAACUAACUCAUAAAUGGACUUAAUGUAUCAAGAGGUAUUAGGUGUAUCAGACGUGUAUAAGGUGUAUCAAAUGUACAUCAAUAACGAGAGGCAUUUGUGACAUUUUACCUCUUGAUGUGUGAGUUGGUGUAACGCCCCAAACUCGAAGGUAUUUUAUUUUAAGAGAUUUUUUCGAUUUGUACAAGAUUUAUUGUUUUGAAGAAAAUAUGUUGAAGGGCGGGAAAGAAGAUUUGAAAAUGUGAUAAUAUAAUUAUAUAUAUAUUUAUUUAUAUUUUUAGUUUUAUUAUUUAGUUUAAAUAAAAGAAAGAAAAGAAAUUUUAUUAUAUAUAUAUUUAUUUAUAUUUUAGUUUUAUUUUUAUUAUUUAAAUAAAAAUAGAAAAAUGAAAAUUUUCCUUCCUUCUUCCUCCCGUGCGUCCUCCAUCCCUUUCUCCUUCCCGUACCCUAGCAGCCGCACAUCCCUCUCUUCUCCGUUCACACCAGUCGGCCACACAAGCUGCCGGUCGUUUCUUCUUCUUCUUUCCGAUCGUCUUCCUUUUCUCCUUCGGAUCGAAACCGCCGCGCCCAUUCGCUCACAACCGUCGUGCCUCUCCGCUCACAACCGUCGUGCCUCUCCGCUCACAACCGUCGUGCCUCCCUCGGAAAGCAAAUCGUCGUCCAAAUCUGCAUCGCCGAGCCGUCUAGGUCCUCGCCGUCGCAUGUGCUUCACCCUUGCCGUUCGCCGUAACCCAGAUCCGUCGCUGCAAUCGUCGGUCGGUUCAUUAAGCAAGCCGUACGCGUCACUCUGCAGCAGUCGUCCAGAUCUGCGUCGCCGUGCCAUUCUUUCCUCUCCGUUCGUGAAACCUGCUGCGCAAUCUCUGUCUCCGUCGAAGCCAAGCCCACCGCCGCCCGUUCCUUUCUUCUCCGUUUCUACACUGUCGCGCGAUUCUCCGACCGCGUCUGUCUUCACCUCCAUAAAGCCGUCGACGCAUACAUCUCGUGAAGUCAUACACGGAUCCAAGCCGAUCUCUUCCUAAAUUACGUGUCCCUUAUCAUUGGGCUCAUAUUUGGAUAAGAACAAGUUAUGGUUUUUGUUGGUUUCUUGGUUUUUGUUGAAUGCUGCCAUUGGAUUUAAUUGUUGCGAAAUGCUUAAUUCUUGAAGGUACACCUUGAUUCAGUGAGCGAAUCCUUGAUUUUCCAAAAGGUUGAAGUGGACUUGAUUUUCCACUUCUUAGGUAAGUUGUGGAAUUUACAUAUGGGGUAAUUUGAAUGGUUGAAACUAUUUAGAAAGAUGUUGAUUUUAUGAUUGAUUAUGUUUAGGAUUUGAUUCAUUGGAUUUAGUAGAUUGAAGAACUUGCAUAAAAGUGAGGUAAGGGAUUUUAUUUUCUACUGGACUCACCUAUGCUUUUGAAUUGUAAUGUUAGUCACCUCUGAUUGAGUAAAUGUGUUGAGACAAUAUAUAUAUACGUAUGGAUGUAGGUUCGGUGUUGAAUGUAUACUGUGGAUGACUGAAAAUAUAUAUAUACACAUGGAUUGAAGUAGACUUGAUGUUGAAUGCAUAUUGUGAUUGUCUUGGAAUAUAUAUAUAUGUGUGGAUGUAGACAGGACGACAAUUGUAGAUUGUGUUUGUAUGAGAUGCGGAUGUGAACUUGUGAUUGUCGUUUAGACUGGGUGUACGUUAUACUAAAGUAUGACUGUGUGCUGGUGAACUGAGAGGCGUUAUGACUAUAUAGUUUGAUUGACUGACGUAUUAGUAUGUUACUGACAGACAUUGGGCUAAAGUGAGAUAAGUUGACUGUUAGAACGUUGAGUGAAAGAACUUUAUAUUUUGAAGUAACUGAAAGAUGGUACGAAUGGAUUGAGGGGAAAAAUUGUUAGCUUUUAUUGGGAUGUUGCUUUGUAGGUGUCCCACGGGAUCACCAAUUAUUCUGCACCUUCGGGAGCAUUAGACUGAUAUGUGUUUCUGCAGAACACUACACUGAAAUGUACGUCCCUCGAGGCGUUAGACUGAAAUGUGCAUCCUACGGGAUCACAAGACUGCGACUGUACAGGGUGUCCCAAUAGAAUGUUAACAAUUUAUUUUUCCCUGACGGGACCAGUAGAGGGUCUCUUACUGGGUAUUUUUAUACUCACCCUUCUUAUGUUUAAUUUUCAGGCAAAGGUAAUAAAGGCGGCAAACCGGCGAGGGGCAGGAAGGAAGCGUGAUUGCCAUAGGAAAUGUGUUAUUUUGCUUCCGCUUAUUGUUUUUUUUUAGGUUUAAGACGUUGUAUUGAAACUUAGCUUACAAACUUUUAUUUGUAAAUAGUACUUUUUUUAAGUUUUUGGAAUAUUUGAAAAUCAGGCCUGACUUAAAGUUGUUUUUCAAUUGGCUUACAUUUCAUUUUGUAUCAACCAAAGUCUUUUGUCAAAAAUUAACGACCUCGACUUACCUAGAAAAGUUGGGUCGUUACAGUUGGUAUCAGAGCCUAAGUUUUAGGUUCUGUAGACUGACUUACGAUGUAAGUCUAUGUUUUAUGUCCCUAUGGCUAACGCGACCCUUCGUCUCUCGUCAGGUAUGCUUUAUGCUUAUAUGUAUGGUUUAUUUGCAUGAGUUUGCCUAAAUUAAACUAGAUUGCAUGACGAUAAAGACUUCUUAUGCUUAUGAUUAAGACUUUUUAAAGAGUGUUGUUGGUGGAUAAUAGGAAUUAUGCCGCCAAAGAGAGGUGUACGUAGAGGAGGUCGUAGAGGCGGGGUAGAGGAGCAGGUCGUAAUCAACCUACUGAGGGUCAAGCUGAAUAGCGAAUUCCUACUGCACCCGUGACUCAUGUUGAGUUUGCUGCACUGUCUGCUCACAUGGAGCAGAGGUUCACGGAGCUUAUGACGGCUAUAGCUAGAACCAGCAGGCACCUGCAGUUCCACCUGCACCUGUGGUUCCCCCUGUACCAGCAGCUCCACCUGCACCAGCAGCCCCUCCUGCGCAAGGAUUGGCUGCACAACAGCCGCAGACAUUACCGAACCAACUUUCUGCUGAGGCGAAACAUUUGAGGGACUUUAGGAAAUAUGACCCUCAGACGUUUGAUGGGUCACUGGAGGAUCCUACUAAAGCUGAGUUGUGGUUGUCCUCUGUGGAAACCAUAUUUAAUUACAUGAGAUGUCCAGAGGAGCAUAGAGUUCAGUGUGCUGCUUUUCUUCUGAGGGACAGAGGUAUUAUCUGGUGGAGAACUACGAUGCGUAUGCUAGGUGGAGAUGUGAGACAGAUUACCUGGGAUCAGUUUAAAGACUGCUUCUAUACCAAGUUUUUCUCGGCUAACCUUAGAGACGCCAAAAGCCAGGAAUUCUUGGAAUUGAAGCAAGGACAUAUGACAGUCGAGGAGUACGACCAGGAGUUUGAUAUGCUGUCGCGUUUUGCCCCUGAACUUGUUGGUAAUGAGCAGGCUAGAGCUGAUAGGUUCGUCAAAGGAUUGAGAGAUGAGAUUAGAGGCUUUGUGCGAGCACUAAAGCCCACUACCCAGGCUGAAGCGCUGCGCCUGGCAGUGGAUAUGAGCAUUGGGAAGGAUGAAAUUCGGGCAAGGAGUUUUGAUAAGGGAUCGUCGUCUGGUCAAAAGAGGAAAGCAGAGCAGAGAACUGUGGGAAUUCCUCAGAGGAACUUGAGAUUAGGCGAUCCUUUUUGCAGUUUCCAGCAGAGUUCUGGCGGGGCAGGAGACACUACUCGAGAGAAGCCACUAUGCAAUACGUGUGGGAAACACCACCUGGGUCGUUGUUUGAUGGGAACGAGAGUCUGUUAUAAGUGCAAGCAAGAGGGACACAUGGCUGAUCGAUGUCCCUUGAGAUCUACUGGGGCUGGACAGAGCAGUCAGGGAGCGAAACCUCCACAGCGGGGUACAAUCUUUGCCACUAAUAGAUCAUAAGCAGAGAAGGCCUGCACAGUGGUGACAGGUACAUUACCAGUGUUAGGGCAUUUUGCCUUGACCUUGUUUGACUCGGGGUCUUCUCAUUCAUUUAUUUCAUCGCUUUUUGUGACGCAUGCAUGCUUAGAGGUGGAACCCUUAGAUUAUGUUUUGUCAGUGUCUACACCGUCUGGAGAAAUUAUGUUGUCUAAGGAAAAGAUUAAAGCAUGUGAAAUUGAGAUAGCUGGUCGUGUGCUGGACGUAACCUUGUUGGUAUUAGAUAUGCGUGACUUUGAUGUAAUUUUAGGUAUGGAUUGGCUAGCUACUAAUCAUGCUAGUAUUGAUUGCUCUCGUAAAGAGGUUGUGUUCAGUCCCCCUACCGAAUCUAGCUUUAAAUUCAAGGGGUAGGAACAGUAGUACUGCCUAAAGUAAUCUCAGCUAUGAAAGCUAGUAAACUGCUCAACCAGGGUACCUGGAGUAUUUUGGCAAGUGUGGUGGAUACUAGGGAAGAUGAGACUUCCUUAACUUCAGAACCUGUGGUAAGAGAAUACCCAGAUGUGUUUCCAGAAGAUCUUCCAGGACUACCGCCACAUAGAGAGAUUGAUUUUGCCAUUGAGUUGGAGCCAGACACUACUCCCAUUUCUAGAGCCCCUUAUAGGAUGGCUCCUGUCGAGUUGAAAUAACUGAAGGUACAGUUACAGGAGUUGCUUGACAAAGGCUUUAUUCGACCUAGUGUGUCGCCUUGGGGUGCACCAGUAUUGUUUGUGAAGAAGAAGGAUGGGUCGAUGCGUCUUUGCAUUGACUAUAGAGAGUUGAAUAAAGUAACAAUCAAGAACAGAUAUCCUUUACCUAGAAUCGAUGAUUUGUUCGAUCAGUUACAGGGAGCCACGGUGUUCUCUAAGAUUGACUUACGGUCAGGUUAUCACCAGUUGAGGAUUAGAGACCGUGAUAUUCCUAAGACUGCUUUUCGUUCGAGGUACGGACAUUAUGAAUUCAUGGUAAUGUCUUUUGGUUUGACUAAUGCACCUGCAGUAUUUAUGGAUUUGAUGAACAGGGUGUUUAAGGAUUUCUUAGACACUUUUGUGAUAGUCUUCAUUGAUGAUAUUUUGGUUUAUUCCAAGACUGAGGCCGAACAUGAGGAACACUUACAUAAAGUGUUAGAGACUCUUCGAGUCAAUAAACUUUAUGCUAAAUUCUCUAAGUGCGAAUUUUGGUUGAAGCAGGUGGCUUUUCUUGGUCAUGUGGUUUCCAGUGAGGGAGUUUCUGUAGACCCUGCAAAGAUAGAAGCGGUUACCAGUUGGUCUCGACCCUCUACAGUUAGUGAGGUUCGUAGUUUUCUGGGUUUAGCAGGGUACUACCGGAGGUUUGUGGAGGAUUUUUCACGUUUGGCUACUCCCUUGACUCAGUUGACAAGGAAGGGAACUCCGUUUGUUUGGAGUCCAGCUUGCGAGGAUAGUUUUCAGAACCUUAAGCAAAGGUUAGUUACUGCACCGGUCCUUACAGUACCAGAUGGAUCCGGAAGUUUUGUGAUUUACAGUGAUGCUUCCAAGAAAGGACUGGGUUGUGUUUUGAUGCAGAAAGGUAAGGUGGUUGCUUAUGCCUCUCGUCAGUUGAAGAGUCACGAGCAGAACUACCCCACACAUGAUUUGGAGUUGGCAGCAGUGGUUUUUGCAUUGAAGAUAUGGAGACAUUAUUUGUACGGUGAAAAGAUACAAAUCUUUACUGACCAUAAGAGCCUGAAGUACUUCUUCACUCAGAAGGAGUUGAAUAUGAGACAGCGAAGGUGGCUCGAGUUGGUAAAGGAUUAUGACUGUGAGAUAUUGUACCAUCCUGGUAAGGCGAAUGUGGUGGCUGAUGCUCUUAGUAGAAAAGUAUCACAUUCGGCAGCACUCAUUACUAGACAGGUACCAUUACAUCGAGACUUGGAGAGAGCUGAGAUUGUAGUAUCUGUGGGGAGAGUCACCUCACAGUUAGCUCAAUUAACGGUGCAACUGACUCUGAGGCAGAAGAUUGUGUGAUGCUCAGAGUAAUGAUCCUUAUUUGAUGGAGAGACGUCGCCUUGUUGGAACAGAGCAGACUGAUGAGUUCUCCAUAUCCUCUGAUGGUGGAUUGAUGUUUGAGAGACGUUUGUGUGUGCCAGCGAACAGUGCAGCUAAGAUUGACUUACUAGAUGAAGCCCAUAAUUCUUCAUUUUCCAUGCAUCCUGGUAGUACGAAAAUGUAUCAGGAUCUAAAACGAUUUUAUUGGUGGCGGAAUAUGAAAAGGGAAGUGGCGGAAUUCGUUAGUAAGUGUCUAGUAUGUCAGCAGGUUAAGGCACCUAGACAGAAACCAGCAGGUUUGUUACAACCUUUAAGUGUGCCAGAGUGGAAGUGGGAGAAUGUGUCGAUGGAUUUUAUUUCAGGGCUGCCUAAGACCCUGAAGGGUUUCACAGUGAUUUUGGUUGUUGUAGACAGGCUUACGAAAUCGGCACAUUUUGUACCAGGGAAAUCCACUUAUACUGCUAGUAAGUGGGCACAGUUGUAUUUAACUGAGGUUGUGAGACUGCAUGGAGUGCCUGUAUCGAUUGUUUCUGACAGGGAUGCACGUUUACUUCCAAGUUUUGGAAGGGACUUCAGACUGCUAUGGGUACGAGAUUAGAUUUCAGUACAGCCUUUCAUCCACAAACUGAUGGUCAAACUGAACGUUUGAACCAAGUUUUAGAGGAUAUGCUACGAGCUUGUGUUCUAGAGUUUCCAGGUAGUUGGGACUCUCAUCUACAUUUGAUGGAGUUUGCUUAUAACAACAGUUUCCAGGCUACCAUCGGUAUGGCACCAUUUGAGGCUUUGUAUGGUAAAUGUUGUAGAACCCUAUUUGUUGGAGUGAGGUUGGUGAACAGAGGUUGAUGGGACCUAAAUUAGUUCGGUCUACUAAUGAGGCUAUUCAAAAGAUUAGAGCACGUAUGCAAACAGCGCAGAGUAGACAAAAGAGUUAUGCAGAUGUACGGCGAAAAGACCUUAAGUUUGAUGUGGGAGAAAAGGUAUUCUUGAAGGUAGCACCUAUGAAGGGUGUUAUGCGUUUUGAGAAGAAAGGGAAGUUAAGUCCUCGUUUUGUUGGACCAUUUGAGAUCUUAGAGAGGGUUGGUGUUGUGGCGUAUCGCUUGGCAUUACCACCAUCACUCUCUGCAGUCCAUAAUGUUUUCCAUGUUUCGAUGUUGAGGAAGUAUGUGGCCGAUACAUCUCAUGUCGUGGACUAUGAACCCUUGGAGAUUGAUGAGCAUUUGAGCUAUGUAGAACAACCUGUGGAGAUUCUGGCUAGAGAGGUAAAGAUGCUUCGUAAUAGAAGCAUUCCAUUAGUAAAGGUUUUGUGGCGGAAUCAUCGAAUUGAAGAGGCGACAUGGGAGCGAGAAGAAGAGAUGAGGACUCGUUAUCAAGAGUUAUUUCAGGAUUAGAACUUUCGCCUUAAGGAGGAAGAAUGUAACGCCCCAAACUCGAAGGUAUUUUAUUUUAAGAGAGAUUUGUACAAGAUUUAUUGUUUUGAAGAAAAUAUGUUGAAGGGGGGAAAGAAGAUUUGAAAAUGUGAUAAUAUAAUUAUAUAUAUAUUUAUUUAUAUUUUUAGUUUAAAUAAAAGAAAAGAAAAAGAAAUUUUAUUAUAUAUAUUUAUUUAUAUUUUAGUUUUAUUUUUAUUAUUUAAAUAAAAGAAAAGAAAAAAGAAAUUUUCCUUCCUUCUUCCUCCCGUGCGUCCUCCAUCCCUUUCUCCUUCCCGUACCCUAGCAGCCGCACAUCCCUCUCUUCUCCGUUCACCCAGUCGGCCACACAAGCUGCCGGUCGUUUCUUCUUCUUCUUUCCGGUCGUCUUCCUUUUCUCCUUCGGAUCGAAACCGCCGCGCCCAUCCGCUCACAACCACCGUGCCUCUCCGCUCACAACCGUCGUGCCUCCCUCGGAAAGCAAAUCGUCAUCCAGAUCUGCAUCGCCGAGCCGUCCAGGUCCUCGCCGUCGCUUGUGCUUCACCCUUGCAGUUCGCCAUAACCCAGAUCGUCGCUGCAACCGUCGGCCGGUUCGUGAAGUGCCGUACGCGUCACCUUGCAGCAGUCGUCCAGAUCUGCAUCGCCGUGCCCAUUCCUUUCCUCUCCGUUCGU
RNAcentral lists this long non-coding RNA (35851 nucleotides) under Cucumis sativus (cucumber). RNAcentral's name for it is "long non-coding RNA (CSAT_LNC002715)". The record is from RNAcentral. Lineage: Eukaryota; Viridiplantae; Streptophyta; Magnoliopsida; Cucurbitales; Cucurbitaceae.